UUCCUUUCCUUUCCAUUGCAUAGGUACCAAACAGGGCGUGAACUCUCCAUCUGCAAUUCCAUUAUCACGCUUCUCGCUCUGGUUGUCCAACUAGAACUAGGGAUACACAGCAGCACAUCAACUCUCUCUCUCUCUCUCUCUCUCUCUCUCUGGGAUACACAGCAGCACAUCAACUCUCUCUCUCUCUCUCUCUCUCUCUCUCUCUGCUCCAUCAAUGGCUACAUCGACCGCGCCGAAAGAGGAAAACUCCACCACCACCACCAACGACGCUUCACCGGCUCCUCAACUACCACCACCUCUCACUGCUGCCACGGACUCGUCUCCCGAGGAAAUCGACGAACCGAAGAGCCUCGGAGACUCUCCAACGACCGGAGACGCGGCGGCUGAUCCAAUGGCCGUGAAAAACAACGGCGCCAACAACGACGACGUUACAGUUUCCUAUACCCAGAAGAAGAUGCGAAGAGCGGAGCGGUUCGGAGUGCCUGUGCAGAUCUCGGAGGAAGAGAAGCGGAAUACUCGAGCAGAAAGGUUUGGGACUGGGUCUGGGUCUGAGUCCGGUGUGCAUGGAUCAGAUGCAUUGAUGAAAUCAGAAGAACAAAAGAGAAAGGCUAGAGGGGAGAGGUUUGGGUCCGUGCAGUCUGUUUCUGCUGAUGAGGAGGCGAAGAAGAAAGCCAGGCUUUCCAGGUUUACAGCAGCUGCCCCGAUAGAUCCUUUGGAAGAGGAAAAAAAGAAAGCAAGGGCAUUAAGGUUUUCACAAGCUCCGUCUGGCUGUCCAUCACAAGUAAAUGGCAAAGCAUAUGAUAUUGAAACUAAAACAGCUAUCACGGGCAAGGCUGGCGGGGAGACCUAAAUGCCUUUGUUUUUCUGUUCAUGGUUUCUUUGGUGAGCUGUCUUAAUUAAUUUGCCGUCUCAUAUGGCAUGAUCUUCCAUUAUCAGACACCCUCUCAAGGUGUAUGGCAGCAUGACGGAGCUUUUUUUUUUUCUCAGAUGUAUCUGUUCACCUGGUGAGGCCAGGAUACUCAACACCUACUUCUCCUUAGUGUUAACCUAUUUUAAUGACUGACAAAAAGUAUCAAAAUUCUGAAAUUAUAGGCGUGGGAAAAAUUUCUGCUCUCAGUUUCAGAUAUAGAACUGAGACUCUUCAGAAAGCACUGACUCCUAAUUUUGGUUCUGUACAACUAUCCUUAUUUUCUUCCUCUAUUAUUAGCACGUGAGCAACCCCUCAUAUCUACGCGUAGUGAUGUCAUAUACCGUGGGUUCGCUUGGUAUCUGCAAUAACAUUUAACUUUGUGAGUCUAACAUCAUCUGAUCCAAGAAUUUGAGCGUCAAAUUUGCUGCAUAGUCAGUUCCAUACUUGUAGAACAAUCCUAUUACCAGAAAUCACAAAGCAUACAACUGUGGUCUUUUCUUUUUUCCUUUUUUUCUUUCCGUCUCUAUUUUUAGAGAACUGCAAUCUUUUGGAUUUGUAAGAUUCAAGGCUAUAGAUAGCCAGAAAUAUGUAACAGUUUUUGGAGCAAAACAUAAAGCAACUGGUUUUGUUUUGCUUUCUAACUCUAGAUUGACAGCUUUUAGGAAGGUGCCGUUGAUUUUUGGAACCAUGCAUAUUGCCAGUGUUAUUGAUGCUUAGGUCGAGUUUAUGUAAUGCAUUAUUUGUUUUUAUGUGCUGAGCUUGUGUGCUUACAAGUUCACUUCGUGUGUCACAUUUUGUGGCACAUGGUGUGAACAUGUUGACUUUUGGAUUCGUGGAUCAGAUGAUAGUAACCUUGCAUUUUUCAAUUGGGUCAAAAUUAUUUUACUGCUGUUUUCAUACUUGAGCACGCAGAUAUGAGGGGGAUUUGGGGAAAGUUUGAGGGUAAAGUUGUCAGAGGAUAGAAUUUGAACUCAUUCUUGUCC
Rhododendron vialii is the source of this 1893-nucleotide RNA transcript. It is a transcript of the gene named protein MODIFIER OF SNC1 11-like, with no coding region annotated. Lineage: Eukaryota; Viridiplantae; Streptophyta; Magnoliopsida; Ericales; Ericaceae. The record is from RefSeq and is a predicted model, not a curated record. The transcript has 7 exons.